UACCUCGAACUUUUACCUCAGGAAAUACUCUUAUUCUACUCUGCCUCAAUUGAGUCAAAAGAAUCCACUUGGAUUUAAAUCAGACUAGUGAUUCCCUACGUUACCACAAAUUUUUACCUCAAAAAUCACGUCUUCUUUGACCAGAUCUCAACUAUGUAUAGAGGCUCCACUUGCCCCUCAACUCAAAUUACUUAUUCCUUACAUUUACCACUGACGUUUACCUCAGGAAUCACAAAGUGUGCCUUUUCCUUCCUACUAGUCUCCUACCGCUACCAGUACGGUUACCUCAGAGACUAGUCUUAUCUAGGGUUGUCAGUUUUCAAGUGAUCUCCUACAAAUUACCCUUUUUGUUUUUACCUCACAGAUCACUCCUCUGAACCUAACAUCUAGACUUUAAACUGUAGGUUUUCCUUUCUUUCAGUUUAAACCUACUACUGGGUAUCUGGUAUUUCCACUCAGACCCCUUAACUUCGGCACACCUCCGUCUACCACAUUUUUUGGAUCCCAGUGCUGCACACCAAAUUAUGUAAUGUUUUCCCACCACCUCACAAUUCUUUCCUUCUUUGUGAUCCAAUACCCCUGUGGGUUUUUAAAGGAUCAAAGUGAACAGCAAUGUGGGCAAAUGAAGUCAAGGAUACAGAGGGCUGAAAAAUAAGAAACGGUGUGGUAAGAAGGCCUUUUUCACCAAGUUAGCAAAAGGACACCAAACACUAUGUUCUUUUCUAGGGAGAAGAUGCACAGUGCUGAUCCAGCACCUCAGCUACCACUGCAGCACACAAUUGACUUUUGCAAUAGUGUUGCAGAUCAUCUCGUUGCAGAAAGAGGGCUGCUUCCACAAGACACAAUUGCCAUUGACAGAUCAGGUCUGAUGGAUUGUCCCUAAAAAAAAUCCCUCAAGGUUAUAAGAAAACUAUGCCCAGCUGCAUGCAGAAAUGGGAAGGCCUUGUUGGAUUUUAGCUUCAGGUAUCUUGUGGAUUGUUGUUGUUGUUCACUACUGUCAAGUCAAAUUGGACUUACGAAUGGGAGACCUCCCAGUGACCCUGGUCUCAACUGCCUUGCUCAUGUCUUGCAGACUCAAAGCUGUUGCCUCUUUGCUUUAUUCUAUCCACUUGUAUGAGAUCUAUUUAGUGAGGCCACACCUCUGCGACUAUAAAAGUAAAUACAAGUUACUGUUAUACUACAAAAGAAGUGACAUUUUUUGCCUUUUAUAGUUAUCAACAUAACAUAGCUUAGUUAUGCCUUUUCUGUUGGAGAAAUUAAUUAAAUGUAGCUUCUUAUUUGUAAUUAAUUAUUUCAAAACUCUGGGAGAUAAAGGUCAAUUGUGUGCAUUACAACUGAAAAAAAUAAUUCCUGACUAUCUCAAGUCCCACACUCCCAUAAGGCCAUUAAAGACAUGACCUAAAAUUAUCUAGGUGCCUUUCAUGAACACGGUAAUACCUGCCUGCCCCCCCCCCCCCAGCUGAUAUUCAGAGGCAGAAUGGCUGAUAUUGUACAUAACAUACGGCUAUCAUAAAUAGGCUUAUCCUCAAGAAGGCCAUCCUCAAUAAAUUUGUCCACUCCUCCUUUAAAGCCAACCAGGAUGAAGAACAUCACUACAUCUUGUGGCUGCAGAUUUUGUGGUUUAACCACAAGGGUGUGUCUAUGAGAAAGUUUGUUUCUAUGAGCUGGACACUUGCAUGUCAUCUUGAAUGUCAGGAACUAAAGAUGUUUCUGUUCCAGUGUCUUCAAAAUAUAUUUCCCCCUUUGUUUUGCCCUAUGAUGGUACACUGGUAUGCACAUUUUUAUACUGAACAAGGGUACACCAAUGCAGCUGUUUGGGUAGUGUACUGAUUAUACAAGCAAUUUAAAUACAGUUAGGAACACAGGAGGCUUUGGUCUAUCUAGCAUGUUGUUGUUAGUUGCCCUUGGUUUGACCUUGACUCAUGAUGGCUCUGUAGAUAACACAUCUCCAGGCCCCCUAUCCUCCAUUGCUUUGCUUGCAGAUUUUUAAGGCAGUUUUUUUUGCCCAAGAUCACAGAGUGGAACAAAGAAACUGUUACAGUAAUGCCACAUCACUAAUUGUAACAUUAUAUAAACUUGAGGCUAGCCAUCCAGUUUUUUUAAAAAUAGAUGUAAAGUUUUAUAAAUCAAAAAGUAUAAAUAUUCAAUGAAACAAUUAGUCUGUCUAUUCCCAAAUUCAUAUUUUGCACUGAUUGAUGAUUGUCCAAAAACAUUUCUGUAUGUUCUUAAGCCACCAUUAAUACAAUGUACUUGGAGAUGAGAUGUAGCCUGGUAGAAGAGAGGGAAUGGAACUAACAAAGCUUCAUAUUUAGUCUUCCUUUUCUGGAAUUCCAAAUUCAGAAAUAUUGCAAAACCCAAAAUGUUUGUAUGGGUGACUGAGGCCCGGGACAGACAGUCCCGAAGUGGUGUGCUACCGCUGCCGAUUCUAGAGUUAGGGACCUCACACCAACUGCAUGAUCCCUAAUCCUAGCACGGCACAGUGGCAGCCUAAUAGCGGUGUCCUGUCCACACAUCUUUACAUAAGCAACAUGCAGCAUAUAGACAUUGCUGUGCGUCGCUUACGUCACGAGUG
Sceloporus undulatus (fence lizard) is the source of this 2572-nucleotide long non-coding RNA. RefSeq lists it as uncharacterized. The transcript is spliced from 4 exons. Lineage: Eukaryota; Metazoa; Chordata; Lepidosauria; Squamata; Phrynosomatidae. The record is from RefSeq and is a predicted model, not a curated record.